Molecule: ribosomal RNA, 495 nt
Filed under: uncultured bacterium
Lineage: Bacteria
Description: partial 16S ribosomal RNA
Rfam family: Bacterial small subunit ribosomal RNA
Source: RNAcentral
GAUGAACGCUGGCGGCGUGCCUAAUACAUGCAAGUAGAACGCUGAAGGAGGAGCUUGCUCUUCUGGAUGAGUUGCGAACGGGUGAGUAACGCGUAGGUAACCUGCCUGGUAGCGGGGGAUAACUAUUGGAAACGAUAGCUAAUACCGCAUGACAACAGUUAUUGCAUGAUAACUGUUUAAAAGGGGCAACUGCUCCACUACCAGAUGGACCUGCGUUGUAUUAGCUAGUUGGUGAGGUAACGGCUCACCAAGGCGACGAUACAUAGCCGAACUGAGAGGGUGAGCGGCCACACUGGGACUGAGACACGGCACAGACUGCUACGGGAGGCAGCAGUAGGGAAUCGUCGGCAAGGGACGGAAGUCUGACCGAGCAACGCCGCGUGAGUGAAGAAGGAUUUCGGAUCGUAAAGCUCGGUUGUAAGAGAAGAACGAGUGUGAGAGUGGAAAGUUCACACUGUGACGGUAUCUGACCAGAAAGGGACGGCUAACUACGUG